Molecule: long non-coding RNA, 2455 nt
Filed under: Delphinapterus leucas (beluga whale)
Lineage: Eukaryota; Metazoa; Chordata; Mammalia; Artiodactyla; Monodontidae
Description: lncRNA (ENSDLEG00000004286.1)
Source: RNAcentral
CCCCGAUCCCGCCCCGCAGAGCCAUCGAUGGCUCCGGCUCGUGGCGCCCGCCUGCCGGCCUCGGCGCUCGGCUCGGCAUGCCUGCGACGCUGCCAUAGCGACGCGGACACGCAGCCAACUGGCGCCGCCCCGCCCGAGGCGCCCGGCCCCGCGACCCGCUAUCCGCCGAGGCCCCACGGCGCGGGCGGCCGGGGCGGCGACGACGGGGGCGGGGGGCGCGGGUCAGGUGACGGGGGCGGGCGGUAGGGGGACGCUGGGCGCGGGCCGGGCCAGGCGGGACCCGGGAUGCCGGGGAGGCAAUGGGGACGCGCCCUGGGGGCGCCCUGGCUGCGGGCCGGGCCGGGCGUUGGGGGCUCAGCGGCAGCCGGCAGUGAUGACUCGGCAGGGCGAUGGGGGCGCGGGCCACACAGAAGGAAAAGUGAACUUGCAUGGCUGGGAAAGCAUGGGCGGGGGUGUUGUGGAUGCUCCCGUUUGGUUUUCACCUGACGUCAUUUUUCUUUCUGGUCCAGGGGCCUCCCUGAUGCUUGGAGCAGAAAGAAGGCGCUGGUGGCUGGCAUCACCUUGGACAGGAGCUGGAGACUAGCCAGAUAAAGAGCACUGAACAAAUGCUGGUUCCAAAUCCCUGGCAGGGAUCAGAACGCCUCUGCUGUGCUGAAAGCCGACCCGAGCACAGAUCGUGAGCGGGCAGUUACAGGAGCUGCUGCCUGUCUGUCUAGUUGUACAAUGUCCUUUCAUUCGGGACACCAGGUAUACCUUUGCAAAUUUAGUGGUCCACGUCGUGGUGUCAGAAUCGCUGCAGACACAAGUCCCCCCUGAGGUGGGCGCCUCGUCCCUUGUCAACUGCACGCCUAAUACAGUGUGCACAGCCGUCACCAGGAAACGCUGCGGCCAGGGCACUGCUGACCUGCUUGCCGACUCACGUGUGGUUCUUAAGUGUCUUUUCAGAAUGCUCGGAGGCUCCUCUCAAGUUUCCUUGCAGAGAACCCUCACAAGGGUGUUGCCUGUAAAUGGCCUGAAUUUCUCAUUUGUACCAGUAGGUUAAAGAAGGAAUCCUCAAAACCCAGCAGCUGAAAUACCAGUUCAUUAGUGCAUUUAGCGCAAAGCACGGGCUCAGAGGCCUCCUGCGCAGGAGCCCAGGAGAGGGGAGGUUCCGGCCAGUGAUGAGCGGCCGCGUCCCGCUGGCAGAGAAAGCCCUGUCCGAAGGCUACGCCCGGCUCCGGUACCGGGACACCUCCCUGCUCAUCUGGCAACAGCAGCAGCAGAAGUUGGCAUCUGUGCCGCCCGGGACGUACCUAAGCAGGAGCCGAAGCACGUGGUACUCACAGUACGGAAAUGAGGCCAUCCUCGUCCGGGACAAAAACAAGCUGGACGUCUCCCGGGACACGGGGCAAUCCAAGUUUUGCUCUGUUAUGUAAUUCUGGUGUGAAAGCCUGAGCCCAGGCACCCAGCCGCCUUGUUGAUCCCUAGUCCUUACUGGGAGAUCCUGAACAGUGAACGUGAAGGUUGAGCUGUGGUAGAAGAACCCCAAAAUCCCAGAGAUGGCGCCCCGGCCCAUUCGCAGUCGGGCUGAUGGGUGGACUGGGCUCCUGGACUCCAUUCUGAUCUUGCAGGCGCUGUAGGCACAGGCCAGGUCCGGGGCCCGGCUAGAUGCUGUUUUGGUCAUGCUUCCGAAUAAGUCAAGCGGGAGGGACACCCCGGUUACAGACCCACCUCGUCACAUUCUUACAGGCUGUCCUUUAGGUUUCCCUUCUGCCUGGUAAAGAGUGGGUCAGAUCUAGAAAAAGGUGAAGGAAUUGGCAUCAUGUCGGGUCGCAGAUCCACGUGCGGGACCACGAUGUGCGGGACCAAGACGGAUUCACCCUAAACGGUCGUCGGCAGCAGCAUUUCAGCAGGGACUUUGUGGCACUUGAGUUUUGAGUCUAGUAACCAAAAUGAUCACUGCGUGUGAUGCACUGUGAUGGCUCCUACACUAGCUUCCUGAUGCUGGAGGUUUGUGGGGCAAAGGCAUCCCCAAAACAUUAAGGAAACCCCCAAAUUAUUAAGUUACACAAAAGCUGCUAACAGUGAUUUCAAAUUUAAUCACAGGGCUGAAAUAGGCAGGUCCUCAGCGGACAGCAGUUCAGCCUCUACUCCGAGGCUGCACCUCCCGGCCACCUGCAGUGUUUGAUGUGCGUGGGCCGUGAUCACACACAAGCAGCCUCGGCCCACCUGUGUGGGCAGCUUUAUGAGUCAUUUUUAAAGGAUUUGCUGUCUGCUGUAAUUAAGGUCUGUGUGGCGAGGUAAACGUGGAAGUGUCUUUUGUCAAAGCUGAGUUUUCUUUUCUAAAUAAAUCUCCUUUAGGAGCCGCCUUCCUUCCUCACUCCUUAUUUUGAUCUGUUUGCUCCUAAUAUCCUAACGUGGCUUUCAGGUUUUUUUUUUUUUUUUUUUUACAACAGUAACAUCUAACGAUUGCUAA